Molecule: long non-coding RNA, 360 nt
Filed under: Nicotiana benthamiana
Lineage: Eukaryota; Viridiplantae; Streptophyta; Magnoliopsida; Solanales; Solanaceae
Description: long non-coding RNA (NBEN_LNC026161)
Source: RNAcentral
GCAACUGAUGGAACCCAAAAGCAGGCUGAGGAAGCUGUUAAUCCACCAGUUGCAAUAGUACAGACUGAUCAGAUUUCAAGCAAGGUUGAUGAUCAAACUAAUGUAGAGUUGAAUGAGCAAGUGAUUCCUGCAAGUCAUUUGAGUGAAACAACUACCAGUAGUGAUCAAAUGGCUAGCAUGGGUACUAGAGGAAAAGGAAUCAUGGAAGUUAUGGGAAGAAGAGGGCAACUAUUUGAUCCUGGGCCUUCUUAUAGUUUGCCAAAUAUUGAUCCAUGAUAGCAGUCACAUGGAACAUUAGGGGACUUAACCAGUCCUCAAAGCAUAAGGAAUUGAAGCAAUUCCUUAAUGAUAAUAAAGUUG